UGAGAUCAGGAUCUGAGGCAGUAGAGAGGCAGGGCCUGAGUCACCCCCAGCAGGGCCUUCUUCAUUUGCCCUCCCUGGACCCUGGGCCCUUCAAGUCUCAUGUUUUUUUUUUUUUUUUGGACAGAGUCUCACCCUGUCACCCAGGCUAGAGUGCAAUGGCACGAUCUCGCCUCACUGCAACCUCUGCCUCCUGGGUUCGAGUGAUUCUCCUGCCUCAGUCUCCUGAGUAGCUGAUUACAGCAAUCCCUGUUUGGGCACCCGUGCUGGAGGCCCACGCCCUGCCCAAGCCUGUCAGCUGUACACAAGGGAAUGACUUUAUGCAGCUGCAAUGGACAAAACACCAGGCCAUUCCCUUUUCUGGAAAACCCUGGGAGAAGUGUGGCAGAAACACAUCAGUCGCCUCUUCUGAGGUCUUCCUACUUUCACUUAAGGGAUAGGAGACAUUUGAGCCAAAAAACCCAUUUCAUAAGCAUAAUCCCUCCUUGCUAGGUUGUUAAUGAGUUUUGCAAUCCUUUUCCUUUCGGUAAGUCACCUAACCUUAUCGAGAACAGUUCUCAAAACAACAGAUGAACUUAUUUGUGAGAAACCAUUAAGUAAUUAAGUAGGUUUGAGGACAGUUGGACAGAAAGCGCCACUAGGAAAUCUCUCCAUGAGGACUGGAGUGUUCGGGAGCCAGCGGAGCGCGCGGCACCGCUUAUUUACUAUGGAAGGAUGUCCGCUCGCUCAGUGUGCUCACUCCAUCUGCUCUUCAGUUUUAAGUGACUGACAAGGAGGAAAAUGCUUUUCCUCCCAUAUGCCUCACAUUGCCCCAGUGUUCUAGGUUUCUGCUACACAACUUAGCUACAGCUGCCUCUUUAGAUGCUAAAAUAAGAAAGUUCAGAAACGUGAGAAAAGAGAAAAAGCACCUGUGACCCCGUCUGGCACACCAUUUCCUCUGGGAACCCAGAUCUCACGCAGCCACCGUUGGGAGAAGCACACGUGGCUGCUGUGUUUCCUGAUUCCUGUUUCACUUGCAAGUCUUUCAAAUGUCCCCCACAGUCUCCUCUUUAAAGGACAGACGUGCCAGGCAGUGUUGCAUGUCCUGCUUUGUCAUUGCUGUUAUUGUUUUCUUAGAGAUGGGGUCUCACUCUGUCAUUCAGACUGGAGUGCAGGGGCAUGAACCCGGCUUACUGUAUCCUCAAACUCCUAGGCUUGAGUGAUCCUCCUGCCUCAGCCUCCCAAGUACCUGGGACUAAGAAUGCAUGUCAUGUGCCUGGCUAAUUAAAAAAAAUGUUUUUUUUGUA
Pan troglodytes (chimpanzee) is the source of this 1283-nucleotide long non-coding RNA. RefSeq lists it as uncharacterized. The transcript is spliced from 2 exons. Lineage: Eukaryota; Metazoa; Chordata; Mammalia; Primates; Hominidae. The record is from RefSeq and is a predicted model, not a curated record.